CCUACGGGAGGCAGCAGUGGGGAAUAUUGGACAAUGGGGGCAACCCUGAUCCAGCCAUGCCGCGUGUGUGAAGAAGGCCCUCGGGUUGUAAAGCACUUUCAGUGAGGAAGAACGCCUGGUGGUUAAUACCCAUCAGGAAAGACAUCACUCACAGAAGAAGCACCGGCUAACUCCGUGCCAGCAGCCGCGGUAAUACGGAGGGUGCGAGCGUUAAUCGGAAUUACUGGGCGUAAGCGCGCGUAGGUGGCUUGAUAAGCCGGUUGUGAAAGCCCCGGGCUCAACCUGGGAACGGCAUCCGGAACUGUCAAGCUAGAGUGCAGGAGAGGAAGGUAGAAUUCCCGGUGUAGCGGUGAAAUGCGUAGAGAUCGGGAGGAAUACCAGUGGCGAAGGCGGCCUUCUGGACUGACACUGACACUGAGGUGCGAAAGCGUGGGUAGCAAACAGGAUUAGAUACCCUAGUAGUC
This 464-nucleotide ribosomal RNA is filed under the name Vreelandella stevensii. RNAcentral's name for it is "partial 16S ribosomal RNA". It matches the Rfam family "Bacterial small subunit ribosomal RNA", at positions 338 to 795 of the family's 1533-position model. The record is from RNAcentral. Lineage: Bacteria; Pseudomonadati; Pseudomonadota; Gammaproteobacteria; Oceanospirillales; Halomonadaceae.